Long non-coding RNA from Aedes aegypti (yellow fever mosquito), 545 nucleotides. RefSeq lists it as uncharacterized. The transcript has 2 exons. NCBI's taxonomy places the organism in Eukaryota, Metazoa, Arthropoda, Insecta, Diptera, Culicidae. The record is from RefSeq and is a predicted model, not a curated record.
UUGCAUUUCAUCUCAUCUUUCGAUCAUCUGAGCAGGAUAUGGAUCGAAUAAAAAUAUAUCAUCUAGGGCUCUUUGAUCAUCUUUGUUGUAAAAAUCUGUGGCUCUUUUGAUUAUCGAUAAAAUCUUUUCAACUCAGCAAUCCACGUGGUUUAGGUAUACAUUGACAGCGUUUGGAAGAAUUACAAAACAUAACGCACACUCAACCAAAGUAAGUAAACUAGCACAUUUGAAAGAAACCCAAUUUUCGUUUUAAUCAACUUUUAGAUUUUGCAGCACAUCACUGAUAUGGAUUCAAGAUUCAUUUGCUGUACAGUGCAUACUAAAUUAGGAACUAAACCAAAAUUAAGCGCUCGAGGACGAUAGUCGUUGGAAUGUUUCAAAAGACAAUAUAAUUUUCAUCGUUGAUCCCAAGUUAGUAUUAGCUGGAACCCGCUUUUUAUCAAAUAAUGAAAGUUACGUGAAGCACUACUGAUUAUGAAUUAUUCUCAUGAAAAAAUAUAAUAAAUUAUAAUAAAAUAAAACGCUAUUAGAUUUGCAAAAGUAAA